RNAcentral lists this ribosomal RNA (429 nucleotides) under Pseudomonadota bacterium. RNAcentral describes it as "Proteobacteria bacterium partial 16S ribosomal RNA". It matches the Rfam family "Bacterial small subunit ribosomal RNA", at positions 355 to 776 of the family's 1533-position model. Lineage: Bacteria; Pseudomonadati; Pseudomonadota. The record is from RNAcentral.
UGGGGAAUAUUGGACAAUGGGCGAAAGCCUGAUCCAGCCAUGCCGCGUGUGUGAAGAAGGUCUUCGGAUUGUAAAGCACUUUAAGUUGGGAGGAAGGGCAGUAAGCGAAUACCUUGCUGUUUUGACGUUACCGACAGAAUAAGCACCGGCUAACUCUGUGCCAGCAGCCGCGGUAAUACAGAGGGUGCAAGCGUUAAUCGGAUUUACUGGGCGUAAAGCGUGCGUAGGCGGCUAAUUGAGUCGGAUGUGAAAUCCCCGAGCUUAACUUGUGAAUUGCAUUCGAUACUGGUUAGCUAGAGUGUGGGAGAGGCUGGUAGAAUUCCAGGUGUAGCGGUGAAAUGCGUAGAGAUCUGGAGGAAUACCGAUGGCGAAGGCAGCCAUCUGGCCUAACACUGACGCUGAGGUACGAAAGCAUGGGGAGCAAACAGG